This 606-nucleotide ribosomal RNA is filed under the name Cellulosimicrobium sp. RNAcentral describes it as "bacterial SSU rRNA". It matches the Rfam family "Bacterial small subunit ribosomal RNA", at positions 37 to 656 of the family's 1533-position model. The record is from RNAcentral. Lineage: Bacteria; Bacillati; Actinomycetota; Actinomycetes; Micrococcales; Promicromonosporaceae.
UAGUUGCGGGCGUGCUUACCAUGCAGUCGAACGAUGAUGCCCAGCUUGCUGGGCGGAUUAGUGGCGAACGGGUGAGUAACACGUGAGUAACCUGCCCUUGACUUCGGGAUAACUCCGGGAAACCGGGGCUAAUACCGGAUAUGAGCCGUCCUCGCAUGGGGGUGGUUGGAAAGUUUUUCGGUCAGGGAUGGGCUCGCGGCCUAUCAGCUUGUUGGUGGGGUGAUGGCCUACCAAGGCGACGACGGGUAGCCGGCCUGAGAGGGCGACCGGCCACACUGGGACUGAGACACGGCCCAGACUCCUACGGGAGGCAGCAGUGGGGAAUAUUGCACAAUGGGCGAAAGCCUGAUGCAGCGACGCCGCGUGAGGGAUGAAGGCCUUCGGGUUGUAAACCUCUUUCAGCAGGGAAGAAGCGCAAGUGACGGUACCUGCAGAAGAAGCGCCGGCUAACUACGUGCCAGCAGCCGCGGUAAUACGUAGGGCGCAAGCGUUGUCCGGAAUUAUUGGGCGUAAAGAGCUCGUAGGCGGUUUGUCGCGUCUGGUGUGAAAACUCGAGGCUCAACCUCGAGCUUGCAUCGGGUACGGGCAGACUAGAGUGCGGUAGGG